Molecule: unclassified non-coding RNA, 352 nt
Filed under: soil metagenome
Description: partial contains 5.8S ribosomal RNA, internal transcribed spacer 2, and large subunit ribosomal RNA
Rfam family: 5.8S ribosomal RNA (bases 1-120)
Source: RNAcentral
GAUGAAGAACGUAGUGAAAUGCGAUAAGUAGUGUGAAUUGCAGAAUUCCGUGAAUCAUCGAAUCUUUGAACGCACAUUGCGCCCGCCAGUAUUCUGGCGGGCAUGCCUGUUCGAGCGUCAUUACAACCCUCAGGCCCCCGGGCCUGGCGUUGGGGAUCGGCAGAAGCCCCCUGUGGGCACACGCCGUCCCUCAAAUACAGUGGCGGUCCCGCCGCAGCUUCCAUUGCGUAGUAGCUAACACCUCGCAACUGGAGAGCGGCGCGGCCAUGCCGUAAAACACCCAACUUCUGAAUGUUGACCUCGAAUCAGGUAGGAAUACCCGCUGAACUUAAGCAUAUCAAUAAGCGGAGGA